This 253-nucleotide ribosomal RNA is filed under the name uncultured bacterium. RNAcentral describes it as "partial 16S ribosomal RNA". It matches the Rfam family "Bacterial small subunit ribosomal RNA", at positions 524 to 776 of the family's 1533-position model. The record is from RNAcentral.
UACGAAGGGGGCGAGCGUCGUUCGGAUUUACUGGGCGUAAAGGGCGCGCAGGCGGCUCAUUUUGUCAGGCGUGAAAGCCCCGGGCUUAACCUGGGAACUGCGUUUGAUACGGAUGGGCUAGAGUUCGGGAGAGGGAUGCGGAAUUCCAGGUGUAGAGGUGAAAUUCGUAGAUAUUCGGAAGAACACCAGUGGCGAAGGCGACUUACUGGAUCAUUACUGACGCUGAGGCUCGAAAGCGUGGGGAGCAAACAGG